GACAGAGGGUGCGAACGUUGUUCGGAAUUACUGGGCGUAAAGCGCAUGUAGGCGGCAGCGCAAGUCGGGCGUGAAAUCCCACGGCUCAACCGUGGAAGUGCACUCGAAACUGCGCAGCUAGAGUCCUGGAGAGGAAGGUGGAAUGCUUGGUGUAGAGGUGAAAUUCGUAGAUAUCAAGCGGAAACACCGGUGGCGAAGGCGGCCUUCUGGGACGAGUGACUGACGCUGAGAUGCGAAAGCGGUGGGGAGCAAACAGGG
RNAcentral lists this ribosomal RNA (258 nucleotides) under uncultured bacterium. Its description in RNAcentral is "partial 16S ribosomal RNA". It matches the Rfam family "Bacterial small subunit ribosomal RNA", at positions 524 to 777 of the family's 1533-position model. The record is from RNAcentral.